CUACCAUGAGGAUCACGGGUACGAGGAAUUAGGGUUUGAUAUCGGAGAGGGAGCCUGAAAAACGGCUACCACUUCUACGGAAGGCAGCAGGCGCGUAAAUUACCCAAUCCCAAUUCGGGGAGGUAGUGACAAGAAAUAAUAACUCGGGUAGUGCAAACUACUACGAGAUUAAAAUGAGGACAAUGUAAAUAUCUUAGCGAGGAACAAUGAGAGGACAAGUCUGGUGCCAGCACCCGCGGUAAUUCCAGCUCUUAUAGUGUAUAUUAAAGUUGUUGCAGUUAAAAAGCUCGUAGUCGAUCAUCUAGUAGCGGCCAGUCUGGCUUCGGUCAGGUUGUGUUGUUGCUAUCUGCUCGAGAACUUCAUCUACCUUAACUGGUCGGUGAUGCUGAUCGGGCUCUUUCCUGAGAAAAAAUUAGAGUGUUCAAAGCAGGCCAAUGCCUUGAAUAUUACAGCUUGGAAUAAUAGAAUAAGACUGAAGUCUCUUUUAUUGGUUAUGAGCUUUAGUAAUGGUUAAUAGAAACAGUCGGGGGUAUUAGUAUUUAAUUGUCAGAGGUGAAAUUCUAUGAUUUAUUAAAGACUAACUUAUGCGAAAGCAUUUGCCAAGGAUGUUUUCAAUUGAUCAAGAACGAAAGUUAGGGGAUC
This 642-nucleotide ribosomal RNA is filed under the name uncultured Plagiopylea. Its description in RNAcentral is "SSU rRNA". It matches the Rfam family "Eukaryotic small subunit ribosomal RNA", at positions 341 to 999 of the family's 1831-position model. The record is from RNAcentral. Lineage: Eukaryota; Ciliophora; Plagiopylea.